GGCAGUAUAUCCAUCUCGUUCCAAAGUUCAAAAGAUAUAGAAGAUGUUAAAGAGGUAAUACUGCCGCUGUUGGUGCUUGCAAUUUGACUGGUGUCAUGAGUUCGCAGGUCCACCUCUCUACAAUCUGCUGAAAAAAAGCAGCGACCGAAGGAAAAGGCAGUCAGGGUUCCUAGAAUUCCCAUGGAAUAAAAAGGGUAGACCAUAACGUUGAAGUAUUAUUCAAUAAGAACUCACUGGAUAAGCUGAUCUUGACAUAAAGCAAAGAGCGCCAAGCCACUAUCAAUUAGACAUAGUUCACUUUUUGCCUUAAAGCCAUGGAUUCUAGCUUGCAAGCAGCCACUUCUUGAACAUCAAGAGGAUCUAUACUCUUGCUUAUUCCAAAUGCUAGAUG
This 391-nucleotide unclassified non-coding RNA is filed under the name Hevea brasiliensis (rubber tree). The record is from RNAcentral. Lineage: Eukaryota; Viridiplantae; Streptophyta; Magnoliopsida; Malpighiales; Euphorbiaceae.